CAGUCGCCGCGGUAAAACGGAGGGUGCAAGCGUUAAUCGGAAUUACUGGGCGUAAAGCGCACGCAGGCGGUCUGACAAGUCAGAUGUGAAAUCCCCGGGCUUAACCUGGGAACUGCAUUUGAAACUGUCAGGCUGGAGUCUUGUAGAGGGGGGUAGAAUUCCAGGUGUAGCGGUGAAAUGCGUAGAGAUCUGGAGGAAUACCGGUGGCGAAGGCGGCCCCCUGGACAAAGACUGACGCUCAGGUGCGAAAGCGUGGGGAGCAAACAGGAUUAGAUACCCGUGUAGUCCCUGUCUCUUAUAC
RNAcentral lists this ribosomal RNA (301 nucleotides) under uncultured bacterium. RNAcentral's name for it is "partial 16S ribosomal RNA". It matches the Rfam family "Bacterial small subunit ribosomal RNA", at positions 509 to 807 of the family's 1533-position model. The record is from RNAcentral.